GAUGAACGCUGGCGGCGUGCUUAACACAUGCAAGUCGAACGGGAAACCUUUUAUUGAAGCUUCGGCAGUUCUUGCUGGUUUCUAGUGUCGGACGGGUGAGUAACUCACGGGUAACCUUCCUUAUACAUGGGGAUAACAGUCAGAAAUGGCUGCUAAUACCGCAUAUGCGCACACAGCUGCAUGGCUCAGUGUGUAAAGCUCUGGUGGCAUAAGAUGGACCCGCGUUGGAUUAGCUGGUUGGUGGGGUAACGGCCCACCAAGGCGACGAUCCAUAGCCGGCCUGAGAGGAUGAACGGCCACACUGGGACUGAGACACGGCCCAGACUCCUACGGGAGGCAGCAGUGGGGAAUAUUGCACAAUGGGGGAAAGCCUGAUGCAGCGACGCCGCGUGAAGGAAGAAGUAUUUCGGUAUGUAAACUUCUAUCAGCAGGGAAGAUAAUGACGGUACCUGACUAAGAAGCCCCGGCUAACUACGUG
This 478-nucleotide ribosomal RNA is filed under the name uncultured bacterium. Its description in RNAcentral is "partial 16S ribosomal RNA". It matches the Rfam family "Bacterial small subunit ribosomal RNA", at positions 28 to 507 of the family's 1533-position model. The record is from RNAcentral.